This 424-nucleotide ribosomal RNA is filed under the name uncultured bacterium. RNAcentral describes it as "partial 16S ribosomal RNA". It matches the Rfam family "Bacterial small subunit ribosomal RNA", at positions 360 to 775 of the family's 1533-position model. The record is from RNAcentral.
AAUAUUUUACAAUGGGGGGAACCCUGAUCCAGCCAUCCCGCGUGUGCGAUGAAGGCCUUCUGGUUGUACCGCACUUUUGGCAGGGAAGAAAAGCCACGGGUUAAUACCCCGACGGCGCUGACGGUACCUGCAGAAUAAGCACUGGCUAACCACGCGCCAGCACCCGCGGUAAUACGUAGGGUGCAAGCGUUAAUCGGAAUUACUGGGCGUAAAGGGUGCGUCGGCGGUUUGGCAAGAAAGGUGUGAAAUCCCAGGGCUCAACCUUGGAACUGCACUUUUAACUGCUAGGCUAGAGUAUGUCAGAGGGGGGUAGAAUUCCGCGUGUAGCAGUGAAAUGCGUAGAUAUGCGGAGGAAUACCGAUGGCGAAGGCAGCCCCCUGGGAUAAUACUGACGCUCAGGCACGAAAGCGUGGGGAGCAAACAG